RNAcentral lists this long non-coding RNA (1345 nucleotides) under Felis catus (domestic cat). RNAcentral describes it as "lncRNA (ENSFCAG00000045626.2)". The record is from RNAcentral. Lineage: Eukaryota; Metazoa; Chordata; Mammalia; Carnivora; Felidae.
GGAAGAGAUGCCAUGGGGGGGUUAUAAGAAAUAAGCCCACUGACGCAAUCAAAGAAAGGAUGCAGAGACUUGGAGCACAGUGAGGCAAGGCUUUAAUCAAUGUUCUUGCAAGAGUGGGUUUCUGAUGGACAGGCACACUGGGGGCAGUUACAGCAGACAAUUUAUCUCCUAGUGUGCAAGUCCCUCCCCUGGUCCCUCACUGGCUGGGUACUACAGAGGUAAGUCCCUCCCCUGGUCCCUCAUUGGCUGAAAGCUACAGAGGUUACAUACAGCCUUACCUGGAUGUCGCCUGUGCCCAUGUAAGGCAAAAAGUAGUCUGAUUGGAACAAGUGUACAUUUCCGGAGGUGAGGCAGAGACUUUCAGUGUUCUGUGUUCUUUGGUGCCUGCUUAUUGCAAAGCCUGCAAAAAUAAGGCCACAAAUCGGAGAGGGGAAGAAGAAAUAGGAAGUGAAGUGUCUAAGGGUUUGGAACUUCAUUGUGGUGGUGGGGGGGAAGGGGGUUCUCACAUAUUUUCAAUAGGUUGUAAACCUAUUAAUUAGAUAGCACAGCCUUUAUUUGGUAUUUCUGAAAAAGAAUGAUCUCCCUUACUUCUCACAGGGUGACAAUGGACACACUUCCUGUGCUCAGGAAGCACAUCAGCUGGGAGACUCGGAGUGGCCAUAGCCCUGAUUUUCCGCGUGGAUUCAGCAUGAAACCAAAUGUACAUUACAGCUGCGGUGAUGAGAGCGAAGCUUUUACCAUUUGUUUUGGACUCCCGCGCUGAUAUGAAUGGGAGCGGGCAGCUGUGGAUGGCCAAAGCAGGGCCACUGGAAGUAAAGCUGGCAUUGACAAGGGCAGACAGGUGCAGAAGGAAACCUGGUUUUGGAUGACAUUGGUGAGUAACUGAGUCAAACCACCCUUGAAGCCAACCCUACCUCUAAGCAGUCAGUCGUGUUAGCCAUUCAUCUCUUACUGUUUCAGCUACUUUGAGUUUUUUGUUUGUUUGUUCUGUUUUUUGUUUGCUUGUUUUUGGUUUUUUUUGACAGAGAGAAAGAAAGAGAGAGAGAGAGAGAGAGAGCAAGCAUGGGGGGGUGGCAGAGAGAGAGGGAGAGAGAAAGAAUCCCAAGCUGACAGCAUGGAGCCAGAUGUGGGGCUCGAACCCAUGAACCGUGAGAUCAUGACCUGAGCCGAAGUCAAGGGUCUGAUGCUCCACUGACUGAGCCACCCAGGCAUCCAAACACACAUUUUUUUUUUUUUAAUCACUCAGUGGAAACUAUUCAUGGCCAUAAUUUGGGAAGGUAAGAUUUCCUGCCUUUGUCAAGAAGCUAACUGGUCAGAACCUUGACCAAGUAGAGUUGUUAAACUU